GAUGAAGAACGUAGCGAAAUGCGAUAAGUAAUGUGAAUUGCAGAAUUCAGUGAAUCAUCUAAUCUUUGAACGCACAUUGCGCCCGCUAGUAUUCUGGCGGGCAUGCCUGUCCGAGCGUCAUUUCAACCCUCAAGCCCCCGGGCUUGGUGUUGGGGAUCGGCGAGCCUCCGCGCCCGCCGUCCCCUAAAUCUAGUGGCGGUCUCGCUGUAGCUUCCUCUGCGUAGUAGCACACCUCGCACUGGGAAACAGCGCGGCCACGCCGUUAAACCCCCAACUUCUGAACGUUUGACCUCGGAUCAGGUAGGAAUACCCGCUGAACUUAAGCAUAUCAAUAAGCGGAGGA
This 343-nucleotide unclassified non-coding RNA is filed under the name soil metagenome. Its description in RNAcentral is "partial contains 5.8S ribosomal RNA, internal transcribed spacer 2, and large subunit ribosomal RNA". The stretch from base 1 to 120 matches the Rfam family "5.8S ribosomal RNA", at positions 35 to 154 of the family's 154-position model. The record is from RNAcentral.